GAUGGGUGCAGUGGUGCACACCUGUAGUCCCAGCUACUUGGGAGGCUGGGGCAAGAGGAGCACUGGAGUACAUGAGUUCAAGACCAGUCUCAGAAAUAGAGUGAAACCCUGUCCUGU
Molecule: small RNA, 117 nt
Filed under: Marmota monax (woodchuck)
Lineage: Eukaryota; Metazoa; Chordata; Mammalia; Rodentia; Sciuridae
Source: RNAcentral